Aricia agestis (brown argus) is the source of this 93-nucleotide long non-coding RNA. RefSeq lists it as uncharacterized. Lineage: Eukaryota; Metazoa; Arthropoda; Insecta; Lepidoptera; Lycaenidae. The transcript has 3 exons. The record is from RefSeq and is a predicted model, not a curated record.
ACGAGUAAGACCGCAGUUUUAUGGCUCGUCGGUAAAGCUCGCCGGUGUAUCAUUGCAAAACCACGUGAUAUAUUUUUUACCACCGUCUUGCAA